GAUGAACGCUGGCGGCGUGCCUAAUACAUGCAAGUCGAGCGAACGGACGAGAAGCUUGCUUCUCUGAUGUUAGCGGCGGACGGGUGAGUCACACGUGGAUAACCUACCUAUAUGACUGUGAUAACUUCGGGAAACCGGAGCUAAUCCCGGAUAAUAUUUUGAACCGCAUGGUUCAAAAGUGAAUGACGGUCUUGCUGUCACUACUAGAUGCAUCUCGGCUGCAUUAGCUAGUUGGGAAGGUCACGGCUUACCAAGGCAACGAUGCAUAACCGACGUGAGAGGGUGAUCGGCCACACGGGGGCUUGAACAGGCUCAAUGCGCCUACGGGAGGCAGCAGUAGGGAAUCGUCCGCAGUGGGGGAGAACCUGACGGAGCAACGCCGCGUGAGUGAUAGAGGUCCUCGGAUCGUAAAACUCUGUUAUUAGUGAAGAACAUAUGUGGCAGUAACUGUGCACAGCUUGACGGUACCUAAUCAGAAAGCCACGGCUAACUACGUG
RNAcentral lists this ribosomal RNA (497 nucleotides) under uncultured bacterium. RNAcentral's name for it is "partial 16S ribosomal RNA". It matches the Rfam family "Bacterial small subunit ribosomal RNA", at positions 28 to 507 of the family's 1533-position model. The record is from RNAcentral.